UGCAGUUGUUGCCUCAAGCUU
RNAcentral lists this microRNA (21 nucleotides) under Oryza sativa (Asian cultivated rice). RNAcentral describes it as "osa-miR444f". Its record names the gene osa-miR444f. The record is from miRBase by way of RNAcentral. RNAcentral also lists the same sequence under 2 other names. Lineage: Eukaryota; Viridiplantae; Streptophyta; Magnoliopsida; Poales; Poaceae.